RNAcentral lists this long non-coding RNA (3887 nucleotides) under Bemisia tabaci. RNAcentral describes it as "lncRNA ENSSSA3NGG000158". The record is from RNAcentral. Lineage: Eukaryota; Metazoa; Arthropoda; Insecta; Hemiptera; Aleyrodidae.
UUCCCCUUACCAUAAAUGCAAAUGCCAUACCUAAUGAUAAACGUCACCUCAGGCUCAAUUCUACGUUUCAGGUAACGCAGAGACCGGCCUGCCGUAAAAAAAUCAGAAACGAAGAAAAAAAGUGAUUCCAACGGUAUAAAGAAGAAAAAAACGAGAACGACAUUCACGGCAUAUCAAUUGGAAGAACUAGAGAGGGCUUUCGAGCGUGCACCAUACCCGGAUGUAUUCGCUCGUGAGGAAUUGGCUUUGAAGCUCAAUCUAAGCGAAUCGCGAGUCCAAGUUUGGUUUCAAAAUAGGAGAGCCAAGUGGCGCAAAAGGGAGCCUCCCAGAAAAACGGUUUACCUCUCUAACUCUGGUUCGCCAAGCUCAAGCAUCAGCUCAACGACUUACACGGGGGGGAUGUCCCCGUUCAACACGGGAGGGCACAACACGAGCCUCAUGAACCCGGCGCCGGCGGCCCCUCGGACGCGUGGUCCAACCCCCCCUACAACCCCUCCUACGACCUGAACCACCUAAACCUCCUCAACCCCAACCCCCCUCCGGCCCCCUACUCGCCGCCCCUCUACUCCACGGCGCCCACCUCCGCCUCGGGCACGAACCCCUACUCCUACCCCCUCCUCGCCAACGACCACCUCUUCCUCGGCCGGCACCAGGAGUACCUCACCGGCGAGGAGUCGCCCCCUACACGCACCAGCUCAUAAUGAACCAGGGUCGCUAUCUACCCGAGGACCCCCAGGUGGAGCACGGAGGGUUCGAGCAAGAGAUGGACCCUUCGGACCAACUGGGCGGGAUGGAACCGGGGCAGAUGACGUUCGAGCUGGAGCAAAAGGGCAACAUGGUGGAAUACGUGGACGACGUCAACGGAGACGACAAGCUGAGCACGACCAACAUCGGCGGCUACAACGUCAACAUGAGCGGGCAGCCCGGCAACAUGCAGAUCAAGGACGAGUGUUGCAUCAAGAUCGAACAGGAUCAUUAUCACCAAACGCUCCCUCCCUUCUUGAACUGAAUCCACGCUCUUGGAACUCAUCAGAGAAAUCUCUCCGCUUGACGGAUACCUUAGGCCUUGUCUCCACGGGCCGUUUCACGGGAUUUGUCCCGGGGAAAAUCCCACUUACGAAGUUAAUCAAUAUUUUUCCUGGUACCAAGUAUGGUCGUUUACCCCUAGGACCCACUGAGAGAGGAAGAAGAAGUGAAAUUGAAUUGUGCGAUAUUUUAUUCAUUACUCCAUUGUUAAUGUUUGUUUAGUUAAAGUUAUGUGUCUAAUUGUCGAUUGAGUGAAAUUAUUAUUUUAAUCCCGGUUAAACACUCGACUUCAACUAAUUUAUCUUCCCGCGCAAACUAGUCGUAGGACCGUAUGAGCCUCGUCCCGUGGAGACGGUAACUGGGAAAAAUCCCAGAAGUUUCAUUCCUGCGAUUCGAACUUGGGACAAAUCCCAUGAAAACGUCCCGCGGAGACAGGGCCUUAGGCAAAUUUUCCUUCCUCAACUCUUGACGAAAUCCGUAAACUGUUUACGAACUACGACAUCAAAACAAAUUUUCCUUCUCCGUUUGUGAUUAAAUGGGCAUGACCUAGCCUUCCCCCAAAUCGCCCGUAGUUAAAUGUAAUUUAAUUUUUGUCAACGGUUUAUGGUUCGUAAAAGUGCUCCGGACCACGUUAUCGAACCUAUAGAUCGUAUUCGAUACAUCAAACGGGUGAGAUUGUAUCGAUAUCGAUUGGUUCAAAACAUAGUCAUGACCCCAAAAGUCAAUUGAGUAAUCUGACGGAACGGGUUUUUUGUGGUAAUUUCCUGAUUCGGAUGAGUAUACUUAUCAGCCAAGAGUAGAGAAAUUGCCCUGUACUUUCUCAUUAUCAGCUUUUCUGACAAAUAUCUUAAAAUUUUGGUUUGAGGUUAUGUUGUUUUGAACCAAACGAUACAUCGAACCACUAUCGAAUACGAUUCAUUGACGAUUCUCGAUGAAACAGUGAAACCAAUCAAGAGUCCGGGCCACCAGGCUCUGAUUGGUUGACAAAAAUCCCAACUUCGUUAACGCGUAGGACAACUGUUCGUGGAUUUCGUCAUCAGUUGACGAACGAAAAUUUGCUUCCUGUCGUCAUGGGCCAAUCAGUUCGACUACGUGGGUUAACUUCCAUCGAACUUAUUUCACCGAUUCGGAUUGACUCCUGAGUUAAAUCGACAAAAUCCCAUUUUUCCGCCUAACUUCGUAAAGUCAAUGCAUUUUUAUACUGCUUGCGAAGCCCAUGCUACUUAAAGAGAACUCCUCAAGACCGAAAUUUCUACUCUGACGUUCUACGACUCAAAGUUUCAAAAAAGCGGACCCCUGGACAAGUUAUGAAUUAAAAGCACUACGAAACAAAAGUCCUCUUCACAAUUUCACGAGGAAAACUAGUCAUACAAUAGGAAUUCGGGAAACCUACUUCUAGACAAGACAUCAGUGUUUGAAGUUGAUAGUGGUGAAAUAACAUGGAUACAAAUGACGUGUCAUUUAUAUAAUCCAACUUCAAAUUGAUCUGUAUUCAAAAUAGUUGUAAAUGCCUUGUUCAGGACCUAAUCUCCGAACUUCUCAUUCAACAAUCGUCUUUACGCAACAUUUUAAAAAGAAAAUAUGUGACUUUCUCUUCAGUUUUGACUUUUUCUAGAGGUCUACUCACUAAUUAAACGCUACGAAAUUAACAGGGUCAUUUCCAGGGUAUCAGUUAAUGGAGUCGCAUUUAUGCACGAUUUUCUCUUCUGAAUUUAGUCCUUUUACGGUAAUUGUUUUAUUACCUAUCACAUAGAGUCGCUAUUGAUCUCCAGUUGAUGGAGAUUUUCGAUGCUCACAAACCGAUUACCUAUUUAUGUCCUUUUUUACGUUUUAUAUUCAAUCGGUGUAUGUUCCCGAUGCUCAUUCUAGACUUAUACUCUAAUUCUACGUAAGACAAAGAGUAGAUCAGAAAAAAAAUCGAUUUGAUAUUCAAACCAUAUUAUUAAAAGAAAAAACGUAGGAAAAUAUUGAUGAAGGAGAUAACUAUAGACUUACCUCCUUAGUUACGGGGGGCGGUUGCUUUUCGACUUAUUGCUAGCUUUAUUUUACCAGCUGGAUUUUGGAUCCAUUGUUGAUGGUUUCAGAUUCAUUUGGAAGUUCUAAGUCUUAAUCUAAACCGGUGCAUAAAGCACCAAAUUUUCGUAGAGGAAACAGCGGAUUUUCUUCGAUUCGUCAUGGUUUAGAUUUUUGUCAUAUUUAAUCAUAGUUAAAUUACAUGUAAAAAUGCUGCUUUGUACAUAGAUAAUAUGUUACUGUAAGUUAAUUGAUGUGAAUAGUUCGGAGUAAGCACUUAAAACGAGUCAGAGUUGUAUUUAUGCUAAUUUUUAUUUGCAAAGAAGUAAAAUUGGCCUGCGAACUACAGUUUCAGGUGUUACCGCGAGAAACACCACUUACGGCCUUUCGAAAAAAACUGAACUUUCAGUUAGUGUAUUUCUAAAAAAAAAAAAAAAAAAAAAAAAAAAAAAACCUAAUAAAUAAAGGGUUGGCAGUCCACUGUGGGCAUUUCGGAACCUAACUCGAGGUUCAAGAACAUUUUGUGGCUGGAUGACUCAUUAUGUAUUGAUUUUAUGUUUCUCAGUUUUUUACCUUUCUUAUUCUUUCUAAGUUUUUUUUUUUGUUACCCUCUUGUUUUAAAGUAUGGAAACAAAACUGUGCAUUCUUACGUGCCUUAAUACUUUUAAACGUAUUCAUUGACGGUAACGUUCAUGUUACAUUUAUUUUUACUUUCCUCAUCUUAUGCAGUCUUUUACUGCUUCCCCUCUUAUUUACCCGACAACGUUUGAACGUUGUGUGUCGUCCUCAAGGCGGAACUGGCCUAUUAGCCGGAUCGGAAGUCACUUUACGUGGUUGGUUAAAUUUCA